CUCUAUCGAACUAGGAACCAAUUAAUUGAAAUCAGAAUAUUAUGGCAAAAGCUAUUCAUCUAAGUUUCUUCUCUCCUUUUCUCCUCGGCUUUCUCUUGGUUUUGUGUGUUUCAAAUUUAACGUACGUCCGUGCUAAAUCGUGCUGGGCUGUUGGAUCUGUUGAUCUUGGUGUGGAUCCAGUGUUAGGUGACGGAGCCUUCAUUUUUUGUGAUGAUGGAUGUAAGGAUAUAGACCCGAAUUAUGAAUACUAUGACACCUCGUUUAAUGAAGAAACUGGUCAACGGGGAUGCAUAUGUUGCUACUGGAGAUAAACAGCAACCAACUCCAAUAGAAUUGUCAUGAGCCAAACGUGGACAUGGUACCAAAGAAACUAUCUUCCUUUAUCGUUUCUUUGUAAUAAGUUUCGUAAACAAGUUGUUGGUUUAAUUAAUUAUCAGUUGACACUGAUAUAUGCCACCUUGAUCUAUAUAAUCUAUUGCUGAUCUUUGUCUUUGUUCUUGUAAUUUCAUCUGUAUUUCGUCUGUGUAUCAAGCUUUGUUCUCAAACGUUGAUCAUUAUGUUCUUAUAUCAAGUUUGUUUCCGGGUGGUGUUUGUUUGUA
Molecule: long non-coding RNA, 599 nt
Organism: Papaver somniferum (opium poppy)
Lineage: Eukaryota; Viridiplantae; Streptophyta; Magnoliopsida; Ranunculales; Papaveraceae
Exons: 2
Source: RefSeq, a predicted model, not a curated record